This 717-nucleotide long non-coding RNA is filed under the name Micromonas pusilla. RNAcentral's name for it is "long non-coding RNA (MPUS_LNC000015)". The record is from RNAcentral. Lineage: Eukaryota; Viridiplantae; Chlorophyta; Mamiellophyceae; Mamiellales; Mamiellaceae.
UCGUGUCGUUCAUGAGCUUGAUAUUCUAUGCCUCGACGAAGAUGCGCAACGUCGAGGACGUCAUCGAGCGGCUCGGACGUGCGUUUUGUCUCGAUUCCUUCCCUCCCUCCUUCCUCGCCCUCCCCGCGCCGCGCCCGUCGCUGACCGUCGAACGAUUCGAUCCGUCACCACGCAGAUCCGCUCCACUUCUUCCUGUUCAACGUCCUCGUCGCGUCCUUCGGGGUGAUACCCGGCGCCGCGAGCGGGACGUCCAUCGCCGCGGGCGUCAUCUACGGCACCCCGAUCGGCGUGUGUCUCGUGAGCACGUCCUGCGCCAUUGGCGCGGGCGUCUCGUUCGUGAUCGCUCGAUACGCCGCGCGGCCUCUCGUGGAGAAGCUCUUCGUCAGGCGCGUUCUAUACACUGGUCCCCAUACGACCCCGUCCGCGUGGUGAACGCCGUUCCUUAAGGACUUUCGCCGGCGAUUCUCUCCGCCCAGGGUCCCUCGCUUUCAAUCCCCACCCUCGACGCCUUUCAACUCCGCUUCUGACGCCUAUGAACUCCACCCCGACGUCGCUUCGUAUGGAACGACCCUCAUCAGAGACUCCUCGCGGUUCGCGCUCCUGGACCAGGCGGUCAUGCGCGACGGCGCGCAGAUCGUCCUGCUCGCGCGCCUCUCCCCGAUAUCCCCCUACGUCGCGUUCUCGUACAUGUUCGGUCUCACCGCGGUGGGGUUCUUG